RNAcentral lists this unclassified non-coding RNA (789 nucleotides) under Hevea brasiliensis (rubber tree). Lineage: Eukaryota; Viridiplantae; Streptophyta; Magnoliopsida; Malpighiales; Euphorbiaceae. The record is from RNAcentral.
GGGAUAUUACGAUUCAUUCAAGCAAAGAGGUGCCUCGAAAAGAGGCUUUAAGGUCAAUAUGAACAGGAUCAAACUUGCUCAGUUUUGGGAUUCUUUGAUUGACAAGUUGGAAGCUAAUGAACUGCCCUAUGAUUUUCACAAACGUGCAAAGUGGGUAAAUGCUUCUCAGUUCUACAAACUCGUCGUCGAGCCACUUGAUAUUGCAGAGUACUACAGGACUGGGAUGCAUCUUGUGAAAGGCCACUACAUGCAGCAUGGAAGGGAACGAAGAUACAAGAUUUUCGAUAAGUGGUGGAAAACUGAGAAUGACACUGAUAAUCCUACUGCAAGGAGCCGGUUUGCGAGUUCUACACAAGAUUCAUGCUUUUGGGCUCGCGUUGAGGAGGCAAGAGACAGUCUUAUUAAGGUGAGAGCUGAGGGUGAUGCAAGAAAGUUUCUCAAGAUGUUGGAAGAUGUCACAAAGUUUGAUCAAUAUGCUAAAAGAUUGAUAGAAAAUAAGGAGAUUUCGCAGGAUGUUUUGGCCAAAAACUCAAGCUACACUAAGUUUAUAGAGGAAUGGAAGGACUUGCAGUCUCAGUUACAGCUGCUCCAACCUCAGUUUCCUUGAAUUCUUAAAGGUAGAAAAUAGCUUGAGGAUUGUUGGUCUAGUUAGGGCAUCAAUCUCUAUAUAUAGCAAUAAAGAAGCUCAACUAAAACAUCUGUCAUUUUUCCUCAAGAAGAACAUAUAAUAUUAUAAUUAGAUGCUCUACUCCAAGAGAAAUUCUAGAGGAACUAGAACUUGUAUAUUUC